GCCGAGAGAGAAGAACCACGAGAGAGAAGCAGAGGCCACCAGAGCACGCCGGAGAGCCCAGAUAGUGAAGACUUGCUGGGGGUUGGGAGGCCUGCCAGCCUCCCGGCCCCCCGGCACCCGAGCCUGCUGUGUACCUGGUUAAAGCACCCACCUGAGAUUAUUAGAAACACAUGCCUCCUGACAAAUGGGAAAGAGAAUUUAGGAGAUGCUUUGGAGACGCUAUAGAGUUCAAACUAAGGACACAGUUUGGCGCAGGUCUCAGUGUUAGGGAGCAUGUUGAGGAUUCAAUAUCCGGUCAAAUACAGGCUUAUUAUAAAUCCUCUCUAUAGUUAUCUCAGAAGAGAAAAGCAG
Molecule: long non-coding RNA, 351 nt
Organism: Talpa occidentalis (Iberian mole)
Lineage: Eukaryota; Metazoa; Chordata; Mammalia; Eulipotyphla; Talpidae
Exons: 4
Source: RefSeq, a predicted model, not a curated record